UAUAUGCUAAUUUUAAAAAAUGUACCUUUUGCAUGGAAAAAGUUGUUUUUCUUGGUUAUGUUGUUAAUACAAAAGGUAUUGAGGUAGACGAAAAGAAAGUCAAGGCUAUCAAGGAGUGGCCAACGCCUAAAAGCAUCACUAAGGUAAAAAGCUUUCAUGGUUUAGCUAGCUUUUAUAGGCGUUUUGUUAAGGAUUUUAGCACCAUUGCUGCACCAUUCACUGAAAUAAUUAAAAAGAAUGUUGGAUUUCAUUGGGGGAGUGAUCAAGCGAAUGCAUUUGCUACUCUUAAAGAAAGGUUAUGUUCUACACCUAUGUUAGCAUUAUCUAACUUUAACAAAACUUUUGAGAUUGAAUAUGCUGCCUCAGGAAUAGGAAUUGGAGUCGUUUUAAUGCAGGAUAGGUGGCCCAUAGCCUUCUUCAGUGAGAAGCUAAGUGGGGCGGCCCUGAAUUACCCCACUUAUGACAAAGAACUUUAUGCUCUUGUUCGUGCUCUAGAGACGUGGCAGCACUACCUUUGGCCUAAGGAAUUUGUAAUCCACACCGAUCAUGAAUCAUUAAAGUAUCUCAAGAGUCAAGGUAAAUUAAAUAAGCGACAUGCUAGAUGAAUUGAAUACAUCGAAACCUUUCCCUAUGUCAUCCGUUACAAGCAAGGAGAACAUUGUUGCUGAUGCUUUAUCACAGAGGAAGGCCAAAUUGGUGAAGUCAAUUCAUGAGAGGGUACUGCUUCAAAUUGCACAGAAGAAUGAAAAGUUUGCUUCCCAAGCCAAUAAAGGGUGAAGGCGUGUCAUUUUUGAACCAGGAGAUUGGGUUUGGAUUCACAUGCGCAAAGAAAGAUUCCCAUCCCAUAGAAGGACUAAAUUGCAUCCUCGAGGCAAUGGACAUUUCCAAAUCCUUGAGAAAAUUAAUGAUUUUCCAGGUGACGAUUCGAGGUCGAAUCCUUUUGAGAAGAGGGGAAAUGAUGGGCCACAUGGUAGACCGAAUCUUAAAGAUCCCUUACAAGUUCCAGAUGGGCCAAUCACAAGGUCAAGAGCGAAGAAGAUAAGGAUUGGUGCAAUCCACUUGGGCCGAGUUUCCAAAUUUAUCGAGCAAGACUCCAACAUUCAAUAUGGGCUUGAAAAAAGAAAAACCAACUUUAAUCCAUGUGAUACAAUCGACAGAUGGGGGCGGCAUAGCCUAGUGGUUUAGUGCAGACUCUUUAUUUCAUUAAGUAUAGGCGUGUGGGCCUAUUUUUAUGUUGCUAUAAUUGUAGGCUUUUGGGCCUAUUUAUUUCAUUAAGAGGACUUUUUUUAUUAGCUACAGAAGUGUAGUUUAUGAUGUUUUGGGCUUGAAGAUGUUCAGCCCAUGUCUUUUAAUUGAUGU
This is an RNA transcript of Alnus glutinosa, 1359 nucleotides long. RefSeq lists it as uncharacterized. The transcript has 3 exons. The record is from RefSeq and is a predicted model, not a curated record. NCBI's taxonomy places the organism in Eukaryota, Viridiplantae, Streptophyta, Magnoliopsida, Fagales, Betulaceae.